Molecule: ribosomal RNA, 483 nt
Filed under: uncultured bacterium
Lineage: Bacteria
Description: bacterial SSU rRNA
Rfam family: Bacterial small subunit ribosomal RNA
Source: RNAcentral
GAACGCUAGCGGGCAGGGCUUAACNCAUGCAAGUCGAGGGGCAGCGUGGAGCAGCAAUGCUCUGACGGCGACCGGCGGAAGGGUGCGUAACACGUGAGCGACUUGCCCGUCACAGGGGGAUAACCGGCGGAAACGGCGACUAAUACCCCAUAUGAUGCGAUGCUGCAUGGCAUUGCAUUGAAGAUUCAUCGGUGGCGGAUAGGCUCGCGGGACAUUAGCUAGACGGCGGGGCAACGGCCCACCGUGGCGACGAUGUCUAGGGGUUCUGAGAGGAAGGCCCCCCACACUGGGACUGAGACACGGCCCAGACUCCUACGGGAGGCAGCAGUGAGGAAUAUUGGUCAAUGGGCGGAAGCCUGAACCAGCCAUGCCGCGUGAAGGACUAAGGCCCUACGGGUCGUAAACUUCUUUAGACGCAGAGCAAUAAGGUCCACGCGUGGACCGAUGAGAGUAUGCGUAGAAUAAGCAUCGGCUAACUCCGUG